GCAAGGGGGUCAUCCCGACUUACCAACCCGAUGCAAACUGCGAAUACCGGAGAAUGUUAUCACGGGAGACACACGGCGGGUGCUAACGUCCGUCGUGAAGAGGGAAACAACCCAGACCGCCAGCUAAGGUCCCAAAGUCAUGGUUAAGUGGGAAACGAUGUGGGAAGGCCCAGACAGCCAGGAUGUUGGCUUAGAAGCAGCCAUCAUUUAAAGAAAGCGUAAUAGCUCACUGGUCGAGUCGGCCUGCGCGGAAGAUGUAACGGGGCUAAACCAUGCACCGAAGCUGCGGCAGCGACACUAUGUGUUGUUGGGUAGGGGAGCGUUCUGUAAGCCUGUGAAGGUGUGCUGUGAGGCAUGCUGGAGGUAUCAGAAGUGCGAAUGCUGACAUAAGUAACGAUAAAGCGGGUGAAAAGCCCGCUCGCCGGAAGACCAAGGGUUCCUGUCCAACGUUAAUCGGGGCAGGGUGAGUCGACCCCUAAGGCGAGGCCGAAAGGCGUAGUCGAUGGGAAACAGGUUAAUAUUCCUGUACUUGGUGUUACUGCGAAGGGGGGACGGAGAAGGCUAUGUUGGCCGGGCGACGGUUGUCCCGGUUUAAGCGUGUAGGCUGGUUUUCCAGGCAAAUCCGGAAAAUCAAGGCUGAGGCGUGAUGACGAGGCACUACGGUGCUGAAGCAACAAAUGCCCUGCUUCCAGGAAAAG
RNAcentral lists this ribosomal RNA (698 nucleotides) under Escherichia coli. RNAcentral's name for it is "partial 23S ribosomal RNA". It matches the Rfam family "Bacterial large subunit ribosomal RNA", at positions 918 to 1617 of the family's 2925-position model. RNAcentral also lists the same sequence under 1 other name. Lineage: Bacteria; Pseudomonadati; Pseudomonadota; Gammaproteobacteria; Enterobacterales; Enterobacteriaceae. The record is from RNAcentral.